UAGGGAAUCUUCCACAAUGGACGCAAGCCUGAUGGAGCAACACCGCGUGAGUGAAGAAGGGUUUCGGCUCGUAAAGCUCUGUUGUUAAAGAAGAACACGUAUGAGAGUAACUGUUCAUACGUUGACGGUAUUUAACCAGAAAGUCACGGCUAACUACGUGCCAG
RNAcentral lists this ribosomal RNA (164 nucleotides) under uncultured bacterium. RNAcentral describes it as "partial 16S ribosomal RNA". It matches the Rfam family "Bacterial small subunit ribosomal RNA", at positions 355 to 511 of the family's 1533-position model. The record is from RNAcentral.